UUAACUCAACUUUGUAUGGAGUUGAAACAUUUACCUACGUUUGCCGCUAGGGGCGCUGUUCCAACUGCAUACAAAUUUGAGCUU
Molecule: non-coding RNA, 84 nt
Organism: Bombyx mori (domestic silkworm)
Lineage: Eukaryota; Metazoa; Arthropoda; Insecta; Lepidoptera; Bombycidae
Source: Rfam